RNAcentral lists this ribosomal RNA (524 nucleotides) under Stellaria radicans. RNAcentral's name for it is "eukaryotic LSU rRNA". The stretch from base 163 to 317 matches the Rfam family "5.8S ribosomal RNA". Lineage: Eukaryota; Viridiplantae; Streptophyta; Magnoliopsida; Caryophyllales; Caryophyllaceae. The record is from RNAcentral.
CCCCCGUGCUCGAGCCAAGGUGGUGGCCCCUUGUGGGUUCCUACUCGGCAAUUUAACGAACCCCGGCGCGAAAAGCGUCAAGGAACAUAACCUACAUAUGAGCUCCCUCCUACUGCCCGGUUAGCCGGCGUGUGGGUGUGGUGCCAUGUCAUAACAUUAAACGACUCUCGGCAACGGAUAUCUCGGCUCUCGCAUCGAUGAAGAACGUAGCGAAAUGCGAUACUUGGUGUGAAUUGCAGAAUCCCGUGAACCAUCGAGUCUUUGAACGCAAGUUGCGCCCGAGGCCUUUGGCUGAGGGCACGUCUGCCUGGGCGUCACGCAUCGCAACCCCCCAUACAGGGGGAGGAGGAUGGCUUCCCGUGCCUCACCAGGCGCGGUUGGCCUAAAAUUGGAGCCCAAGGCAUUGUGUUGCCGCGGCGUUAGGUGGUGAACAAGGCCUCGGCCGAGCAAACAACCGGUCGCGCAGCCCUUUGACGGUACAAGCUCGUAGGACCCUUUGAUGUUGCCUCAUUGCGACACAAACG